Molecule: transfer RNA, 70 nt
Filed under: Mus musculus (house mouse)
Lineage: Eukaryota; Metazoa; Chordata; Mammalia; Rodentia; Muridae
Description: tRNA-Ala
Source: RNAcentral
GGAGGCAGCUCAGUUGGUAGAAUGUUUGCCUGGCAUUCAAGAGGCCCAGGGUUUGAUCCCUGGCACUACA